AUGGGCUCUCGUGACAACUGGCACAAGUGCUGCAAGACAGGGGCAAGAGUAAGCCCUCCCACAAGAAGUGGAAGUAUGAGCUGGAGUGCCCCGCUGCCAACACCAAGAUUGGCCCCCGCUGCGUCCACACAGUCUGUGUGCAGGGACGUAACAAGAAAUACUGUACCUUGAGGCUGGAUGUGGGGAAUUUCUCCUGGGGCUCCAAGUGAUGUAGGUGCAAAACAAGGAUCAUCAAUGUUGUCUACAGUGUGUCCAAUAACAAACUGGUCCGUACCAAGAUGCUAUUGAAGAACUGCAUCGUGCUCAGUGACAGCACACUCUACUGACAGUGGUGAAAAUCCCACUAUACAUUGUCCCUGGGCUGCAAGAAGGGGGCCAAGCUGACUCCUGAGGAGGAAGAGAUUUUAAACAAAAAACAAUCUAAAAAAAUUUAGAAGAAAUAUGAUGAAAGGAAAAAGAAUGCCAAAAUCAGCAGUCUUCUGGAGGAGCAGUUCCAGCAGGGCAAGCAUCUGGCAUGUAUCACAUCAAGGCCAGAGCAGUGUGGCCCAGCAGAUGGCUAUGUGCUAGAGGCCUGGGAGUUGGAGUUUUAUCUUUGGAAAAUCAAGGCCCAGAAAGGCAAAUAA
RNAcentral lists this long non-coding RNA (623 nucleotides) under Homo sapiens (human). Its description in RNAcentral is "non-protein coding lnc-ARF4-2:1". The record is from RNAcentral. Lineage: Eukaryota; Metazoa; Chordata; Mammalia; Primates; Hominidae.